UACGUAGGGUGCGAGCGUUAAUCGGAAUUACUGGGCGUAAAGGGCGCGUAGGCGGGAUGGCAAGUCGGUCGUGAAAUCCCUCGGCUCAACUGAGGAGCGUCGAUCGAAACUGCCGUUCUUGAGGGUUGCAGAGGAGACUGGAAUUCCCGGUGUAGCGGUGAAAUGCGCAGAUAUCGGGAGGAACACCGGUGGCGAAGGCGGUUCUCUGGGCCUUACCUGACGCUGAGGAGCGAAAGCGUGGGGAGCGAACAGG
This 253-nucleotide ribosomal RNA is filed under the name uncultured bacterium. Its description in RNAcentral is "partial 16S ribosomal RNA". It matches the Rfam family "Bacterial small subunit ribosomal RNA", at positions 524 to 776 of the family's 1533-position model. The record is from RNAcentral.